AGUGAACGCUGGCGGUAGGCCUAACACAUGCAAGUCGAACGGCAGCACAGUAAGAGCUUGCUCUUACGGGUGGCGAGUGGCGGACGGGUGAGGAAUACAUCGGAAUCUACUUUUUCGGGGGGGAUAACGUAGGGAAACCUACGCUAAUACCGCAUACGACCUACGGGGGAAAGCAGGGGAUCUUCGGACCUUGCGCGAUUGAAUGAGCCGAUGUCGGAUUAGCUAGUGGGCGGGGUAAAGGCCCACCAAGGCGACGAUCCGUAGCUGGUCUGAGAGGAUGAUCAGCCACACUGGAACUGAGACACGGUCCGGACUCCAACGGGAGGAAGAGGAGGGGAAUAUUGGACAUUGGGCGCAAGCCUGAUCCAGCCAUACCGCGUGGGUGAAGAAGGCCUUCGGGUUGUAAAGCCCUUUUGUUGGGAAAGAAAAGCAGCAGAUUAAAACCCCGCUGUUCUGACGGUACCCAAAGAAUAAGCACCGGCUAACUUCGUG
Molecule: ribosomal RNA, 492 nt
Filed under: uncultured bacterium
Lineage: Bacteria
Description: partial 16S ribosomal RNA
Rfam family: Bacterial small subunit ribosomal RNA
Source: RNAcentral